Molecule: non-coding RNA, 74 nt
Organism: Aedes albopictus (Asian tiger mosquito)
Lineage: Eukaryota; Metazoa; Arthropoda; Insecta; Diptera; Culicidae
Source: Rfam
UGUUCUGUGGCUUAGUUGGUUAAAGCGCCGGGCUAGCGAACACGGAGUCGUGGGUUCGAAUCCCACCAGAACGC